AUGCACAGGUUAAACAAGCAAAGAAAUAAGUGAUGUGUACGUGAUUUUGUAACAAAAAUGGUGAAAGAGCAGAGGCAGGGAAAACGAAGAUAAAAGCAGCUUGAAACGCACACCAGUGAAUUCACCCCAGCUCUGCUGGCCUCCCCCACUUCCUCUGAAAUGUUUCAGUCUCCUGUACUUGGGGACUCUGUCCAAAGCGACCGUGUCACAAGGAGGUUGCUGCAAAGGGAUGGCCACCUGCCACUGCUCUUUUCCUGAGCCAGCCAUGUGCCUAAAACUUCUCUGCUGCGUGGCCCUCUGUGUCUGGGGAGCAGGCUCUGUGGACGACGAGGUCACCCAGAGUCCCAGACACCUGGUCAAAGGAAAAGGCGGGGACGUGACCCUGACGUGUAAACAGAACCUGAGGUACAACGCCAUGUACUGGUACCGGCAGGACCCAGCACAAGGCCUGAGGCUGAUUUAUUACUCAACGGUGGAGAAAGAUGUGCAGAAAGGAGACGUAAGUGAAGGCUACAGCGCCUCCCGAGAGCAGAAGGGGCUGUUUCCUCUCACUGUGCGCUUGGCCCACGCCAACCACACGGGCCUGUACCUGUGUUCUGGUGCUGCACCACAGCGGGGCGCAGCCACCGCCCGCCUGUGUGCAAACCACAGGCCGCCUGCAGCCCCGCUACAGCCUCUGCUGUAA
This is a non-coding RNA of Phyllostomus hastatus (greater spear-nosed bat), 685 nucleotides long. The record is from the annotation of a RefSeq genome assembly. Lineage: Eukaryota; Metazoa; Chordata; Mammalia; Chiroptera; Phyllostomidae.